Panicum virgatum (switchgrass) is the source of this 446-nucleotide long non-coding RNA. RefSeq lists it as uncharacterized. The transcript has 3 exons. Lineage: Eukaryota; Viridiplantae; Streptophyta; Magnoliopsida; Poales; Poaceae. The record is from RefSeq and is a predicted model, not a curated record.
CGGAUGUUCCCACCUAAAAUAAAAUGGACCCUCUUAUGCGCAUGUGUUCUGUUAUAUAUGUGUGUGUAUUGGGAGUGCUCUUUGCUUACUCUCAUUGGCCUAGCAAGGCAACCAUUAUAUAUUGGUGUUGCUAUUUGUUUGCCCUGUUAUUUAAAAGCUACGAGAUCAGUAACAAUGCGUUUUAAACCGGACAAGGUUGGAGGUCCAUGGGGAGGAGAUCAUGGCAACUUUCGCGACAUCCAGGUGCCUCCCUACAGGCUGCUUCGCCUGACAAUCUAUAGCCAAGAGAAUGUAUUAAUCAGCUCGAUCUCCUUCUCAUACAUUGGCUGUGAUGGCUGCGUGUACCAUGAGCACGAUUGGGGUUUUGUCAGAGAAACCGAAGCGCAUCAGCAUAAGGCAAUGGCUGCCUCCAAUUGUGGAGGAUUUUCAUGGACCGAAGAAAAAUC